UUGUCUCAAAGAUUAAGCCAUGCAUGUCUCAGUACAAGCCGAAUUAAGGUGAAACCGCGAAAGGCUCAUUAAAUCAGUUAUGGUUCCUUAGAUCGUACCCACAUUUACUUGGAUAACUGUGGUAAUUCUAGAGCUAAUACAUGCAAACAGAGCUCCGACCGGAGACGGAAGGAGCGCUUUUAUUAGAUCAAAACCGAUCGGUGGCGGGCGCGUUCGCGCGCGCACGUCAUCGUACAUCUUGGUGACUCUGAAUAACUUUUUGCUGAUCGCACGGUCUCGCACCGGCGACGCAUCUUUCAAAUGUCUGCCUUAUCAACUGUCGAUGGUAGGUUCUGCGCCUACCAUGGUCGUAACGGGUAACGGGGAAUCAGGGUUCGAUUCCGGAGAGGGAGCCUGAGAAACGGCUACCACAUCCAAGGAAGGCAGCAGGCGCGCAAAUUACCCACUCCCGGCACGGGGAGGUAGUGACGAAAAAUAACGAUACGGGACUCAUCCGAGGCCCCGUAAUCGGAAUGAGCACACUCUAAACACUUUAACGAGGAUCAAUUGGAGGGCAAGUCUGGUGCCAGCAGCCGCGGUAAUUCCAGCUCCAAUAGCGUAUAUUAAAGUUGUUGCGGUUAAAAAGCUCGUAGUCGAAUUUGUGUCCCGCGCCGCCGGUUCAUCGUACGCGGUGUCAACUGGCGUGUCUUUUUCGCGGGACGUCCUGCCGGUGGGCUCAGCGCGCGUCGCGCGCGCGUUCGCCUCAAAAACGGGUGCGCGCGUGCGUGUGCGGCCCAACUCAAUCCCGCCGCGGUGCUCUUCACUGAGUGUCGAGGUGGGCCGGCACGUUUACUUUGAACAAAUUAGAGUGCUUAAAGCAGGCUAAAACUUCGCCUGAAUACUGUGUGCAUGGAAUAAUGGAAUAGGACCUCGGUUCUAUUUUGUUGGUUUUCGGAACCCCGAGGUAAUGAUUAAUAGGAACGGAUGGGGGCAUUCGUAUUGCGACGUUAGAGGUGAAAUUCUUGGAUCGUCGCAAGACGGACAGAAGCGAAAGCAUUUGCCAAAAACGCUUUCAUUGAUCAAGAACGAAAGUUAGAGGUUCGAAGGCGAUCAGAUACCGCCCUAGUUCUAACCAUAAACGAUGCCAGCUAGCGAUCCGCCGACGUUCCUCCGAUGACUCGGCGGGCAGCUUCCGGGAAACCAAAGCUUUUGGGUUCCGGGGGAAGUAUGGUUGCAAAGCUGAAACUUAAAGGAAUUGACGGAAGGGCACCACCAGGAGUGGAGCCUGCGGCUUAAUUUGACUCAACACGGGAAACCUCACCAGGCCCGGACACCGGAAGGAUUGACAGAUUGAGAGCUCUUUCUUGAUUCGGUGGGUGGUGGUGCAUGGCCGUUCUUAGUUGGUGGAGCGAUUUGUCUGGUUAAUUCCGAUAACGAACGAGACUCUAGCCUGCUAACUAGGCGUAUUUCGACAUCCCAAAGGCCCGCCGGCCGUCGUCGCGUUCGCGCGGCUUCGGUUCGUGCGCGGUUUUUACUGUCGGCGUACAAACAAUUCUUCUUAGAGGGACAGGCGGCUUCUAGCCGCACGAGAUUGAGCAAUAACAGGUCUGUGAUGCCCUUAGAUGUUCUGGGCCGCACGCGCGCUACACUGAAGGAAUCAGCGUGUCCUCCCUGGCCGAGCGGUCCGGGUAACCCGCUGAACCUCCUUCGUGCUAGGGAUUGGGGCUUGCAAUUGUUCCCCAUGAACGAGGAAUUCCCAGUAAGCGCGAGUCAUAAGCUCGCGUUGAUUACGUCCCUGCCCUUUGUACACACCGCCCGUCGCUACUACCGAUUGAAUGAUUUAGUGAGGUCUUCGGACUGGAGCGCGGUGGCGUUUCGGCGUCGCCGAUGUUUCCGGAAAGAUGACCAAACUUGAUCAUUU
This 1900-nucleotide ribosomal RNA is filed under the name Smaragdina concolor. Its description in RNAcentral is "SSU rRNA". It matches the Rfam family "Eukaryotic small subunit ribosomal RNA". Lineage: Eukaryota; Metazoa; Arthropoda; Insecta; Coleoptera; Chrysomelidae. The record is from RNAcentral.